Molecule: ribosomal RNA, 389 nt
Filed under: uncultured bacterium
Lineage: Bacteria
Description: bacterial SSU rRNA
Rfam family: Bacterial small subunit ribosomal RNA
Source: RNAcentral
AUUGAACGCUGGCGGCAUGCUUUACACAUGCAAGUCGAGCGGCAGCGCGGGGGCAACCCUGGCGGCGAGCGGCGGACGGGUGAGUAAUGCAUCGGAACGUAUCCCGUAGUGGGGGACAACCCAGCGAAAGCUGGGCUAAUACCGCAUAUGCUCUACGGAGGAAAGCAGGGGACCUGAAAGGGCCUUGUGCUAUGGGAGCGGCCGAUGUCCGAUUAGCUAGUUGGNGGGGUAAAGGCUUACCAAGGCGACGAUCGGUAGCUGGUCUGAGAGGAUGAUCAGCCACACUGGGACUGAGACACGGGCCCAGACUCCUACGGGAGGCAGCAGUGGGGAAUUUUGGACAAUGGGGGCAACCCUGAUCCAGCCAUGCCGCGUGCGGGAAGAAGGCC